Molecule: ribosomal RNA, 97 nt
Filed under: uncultured marine bacterium
Lineage: Bacteria
Description: partial small subunit ribosomal RNA
Source: RNAcentral
CGCGCAGAACCUUACCCGGUCUUGACAUCCCAAGAAGCUGGCGUUACUGCCGGUGUGCCCUUCGGGGAACUUGGUGACAGGUGUUGCAUGGCUGUCG